Molecule: ribosomal RNA, 700 nt
Filed under: Bacillus sp. KP57
Lineage: Bacteria; Bacillati; Bacillota; Bacilli; Caryophanales; Bacillaceae
Description: bacterial SSU rRNA
Rfam family: Bacterial small subunit ribosomal RNA
Source: RNAcentral
UCCCUGAUGUUAGCGGCGGACGGGUGAGUAACACGUGGGUAACCUGCCUGUAAGACUGGGAUAACUCCGGGAAACCGGGGCUAAUACCGGAUGCUUGUUUGAACCGCAUGGUUCAAACAUAAAAGGUGGCUUCGGCUACCACUUACAGAUGGACCCGCGGCGCAUUAGCUAGUUGGUGAGGUAAUGGCUCACCAAGGCAACGAUGCGUAGCCGACCUGAGAGGGUGAUCGGCCACACUGGGACUGAGACACGGCCCAGACUCCUACGGGAGGCAGCAGUAGGGAAUCUUCCGCAAUGGACGAAAGUCUGACGGAGCAACGCCGCGUGAGUGAUGAAGGUUUUCGGAUCGUAAAGCUCUGUUGUUAGGGAAGAACAAGUACCGUUCGAAUAGGGCGGUACCUUGACGGUACCUAACCAGAAAGCCACGGCUAACUACGUGCCAGCAGCCGCGGUAAUACGUAGGUGGCAAGCGUUGUCCGGAAUUAUUGGGCGUAAAGGGCUCGCAGGCGGUUUCUUAAGUCUGAUGUGAAAGCCCCCGGCUCAACCGGGGAGGGUCAUUGGAAACUGGGGAACUUGAGUGCAGAAGAGGAGAGUGGAAUUCCACGUGUAGCGGUGAAAUGCGUAGAGAUGUGGAGGAACACCAGUGGCGAAGGCGACUCUCUGGUCUGUAACUGACGCUGAGGAGCGAAAGCGUGGGGAG